UACGGGGGGAGCAAGCGUUGUUCGGAAUUACUGGGCGUAAAGGGCGCGUAGGCGGUUCGCUAAGUUGGAUGUGAAAACUCUGGGCUUAACCCAGAGCCUGCAUCCAAAACUGGCAAACUUGAGUACUGGAGGGGAAAGCGGAAUUCCUGGUGUAGCGGUGAAAUGCGUAGAUAUCAGGAGGAACACCGGUGGCGAAGGCGGCUUUCUGGACAGUAACUGACGCUGAUGCGCGAAAGCUAGGGGAGCAAACAGG
Molecule: ribosomal RNA, 253 nt
Filed under: uncultured bacterium
Lineage: Bacteria
Description: partial 16S ribosomal RNA
Rfam family: Bacterial small subunit ribosomal RNA
Source: RNAcentral